RNAcentral lists this ribosomal RNA (1372 nucleotides) under uncultured bacterium. Its description in RNAcentral is "bacterial SSU rRNA". It matches the Rfam family "Bacterial small subunit ribosomal RNA", at positions 28 to 1381 of the family's 1533-position model. The record is from RNAcentral.
GAUGAACGCUGGCGGCGUGCCUAAUACAUGCAAGUCGAGCGAACGGACGAGAAGCUUGCUUCUCUGAUGUUAGCGGCGGACGGGUGAGUAACACGUGGAUAACCUACCUAUAAGACUGGGAUAACUUCGGGAAACCGGAGCUAAUACCGGAUAAUAUUUUGAACCGCAUGGUUCAAAAGUGAAAGACGGUCUUGCUGUCACUUAUAGAUGGAUCCGCGCUGCAUUAGCUAGUUGGUAAGGUAACGGCUUACCAAGGCAACGAUGCAUAGCCGACCUGAGAGGGUGAUCGGCCACACUGGAACUGAGACACGGUCCAGACUCCUACGGGAGGCAGCAGUAGGGAAUCUUCCGCAAUGGGCGAAAGCCUGACGGAGCAACGCCGCGUGAGUGAUGAAGGUCUUCGGAUCGUAAAACUCUAUUAUUAGGGAAGAACAUAUGUGUAAGUAACUGUGCACAUCUUGACGGUACCUAAUCAGAAAGCCACGGCUAACUACGUGCCAGCAGCCGCGGUAAUACGUAGGUGGCAAGCGUUAUCCGGAAUUAUUGGGCGUAAAGCGCGCGUAGGCGGUUUUUUAAGUCUGAUGUGAAAGCCCACGGCUCAACCGUGGAGGGUCAUUGGAAACUGGAAAACUUGAGUGCAGAAGAGGAAAGUGGGAUUCCAUGUGUAGCGGUGAAAUGCGCAGAGAUAUGGAGGAACACCAGCGGCGAAGGCGACUUUCUGGUCUGUAACUGACGCUGAUGUGCGAAAGCGUGGGGAUCAAACAGGAUUAGAUACCCUGGUAGUCCACGCCGUAAACGAUGAGUGCUAAGUGUUAGGGGGUUUCCGCCCCUUAGUGCUGCAGCUAACGCAUUAAGCACUCCGCCUGGGGAGUACGACCGCAAGGUUGAAACUCAAAGGAAUUGACGGGGACCCGCACAAGCGGUGGAGCAUGUGGUUUAAUUCGAAGCAACGCGGAGAACCUUACCAAAUCUUGACAUCCUUUGACAACUCUAGAGAUAGAGCCUUCCUCUUCGGGGGACAAAGUGACAGGUGGUGCAUGGUUGUCGUCAGCUCGUGUCGUGAGAUGUUGGGUUAAGUCCCGCAACGAGCGCAACCCUUAAGCUUAGUUGCCAUCAUUAAGUUGGGCACUCUAAGUUGACUGCCGGUGACAAACCGGAGGAAGGUGGGGAUGACGUCAAAUCAUCAUGCCCCUUAUGAUUUGGGCUACACACGUGCUACAAUGGACAAUACAAAGGGCAGCGAAACCGCGAGGUCAAGCAAAUCCCAUAAAGUUGUUCUCAGUUCGGAUUGUAGUCUGCAACUCGACUACAUGAAGCUGGAAUCGCUAGUAAUCGUAGAUCAGCAUGCUACGGUGAAUACGUUCCCGGGUCU